UACAUGGGGUGCAAACGUUUGCUCGGAAUUAUUGGGCGUAAAGCGCACGUAGGCGGUUCGUUAAGUCGGAUGUGAAAGCCCCCGGGCUUAACCGUGGGAAUGGCCGUUGAAACCUGGCGAACUGGAGUGUGGCAGGAGGGGGGUGGAAUUCCGCGUGUAGCAGUGAAAUGCGUAGAGAUGCGGAGGAACACCGAUGGCGAAGGCAGCCCCCCUGGGCUGACACGUGACGCCUCGAGGCACGAAAGCGUGGGGAGCAAACAGG
Molecule: ribosomal RNA, 262 nt
Filed under: uncultured bacterium
Lineage: Bacteria
Description: partial 16S ribosomal RNA
Rfam family: Bacterial small subunit ribosomal RNA
Source: RNAcentral